UAGCGACCGCCUUAAUCGGUUAUGUCGCUAUGCGGGAUGCCGCGUAUGGGAAGUUCGCAGAGUGGCUUACGGCUCGUCUAAGUACCUAUUGAACAUAGUCCAAGUACCCAUAGAGGGUGUAAGGCCCGUUCGACGAGUCGUAAGUGUCUCCCGCGUUCUUCUCGAGAGUCGGGUUGCUUGAAAAUGCAGCCCUAAGAGGUGGUAAACUCCAUCUAAGGCUAAAUACUACCACGAGACCGAUAGCGAACAAGUACCGCGAGGGAAAGUUGAAAAGAACUUUGAAGAGAGAGUUCAAUAGAGCGUGAAACUGCCACGAGGUUAAAGCGGAUGGACAGUCGUGGCAGAACCGGGGAAUCAGUCCCCCAAGCGUUCGACGCGACGACCGACUCCUCGUGCCCUGUUGGUACUCGUUACCAGCGUCCGUCGUGAAAGGGUUUCCUCGUUACAGGGGGGUUGUCCUUUCCCCUUAGUAAGCCGUCGCGGACGUUGCGGCGUUGUCGAUACCCCUGAGUUCGGGAACCGAUCCUUAAAGCCGCGAGUACGGGCCGGGGACGCUCCAGGGAAUAAGACGGACCUCGCGACGUUUCAAUGAAGGGACGGGUCGGUCUUUUGGUUUUCUUUUUCUCCCCGAAUUCCGACCCGUACGCGGCGCAUAUACGGCGCACGUCCAUCCGUCCCGUCUUGAAACACGGACCAAGGAGUCUAGCAAGUACGCGAGUCAUAAGGGUUCACUAAACCUUGAUGGCGUAACGAAAGUAAUGUUUGUUGUUUUCGAUGGGUUGUCAACCCCAGUUGGACCGAUCCCCGCUGCCGAAUAAAGGGGCGCAGGUCCAGGGCCCGCCAUUGAAGACGAUAGGCGGGUUCCAAGAGCGUACGUGCUAGUACCCGAAAGAUGGUGAUCUAUGCCUGGCCAGGACGAAGCCAGAGGAAACUCUGGUGGAGGUCCGUAGCGGUUCUGACGUGCAAAUCGAUCGUCGGAGCUGGGUAUAGGGGCGAAAGACCAAUCGAACCAUCUAGUAGCUGGUUCCCUCCGAAGUUUCCCUCAGGAUAGCUGGUGCCCGAUAUAAAAGGAGUUUCAUCCUGUAAAGAGAAUGAUUAGGGGUCCUUGGGGAUGAAAUUUCCUCAGCCCAUUCUCAAACUCUAAAUGGGUGAGAUGCCUGGCUUACUUUGAAUGAAGCCAAGGCUACGAAUCCGGGUGCACCAAGUGGGCCAUUUUUGGUAAGCAGAACUGGCGCUGUGGGAUGAACCAAACGCCGAGUUAAGGGGCCUAAGUAUACGGCUCAUUUCAGAUUCCCUGAAAGGCGUUGGUCGCUCAUGACAGCAGGACGGUGGCCAUGGAAGUCGGCAUCCGCCAAGGAGUGUGUAACGACUCACCUGCCGAAGCGACUAGCCCUGAAAAUGGAUGGCGCUCAAGCCGAUCCCCGAUACUCGGCCGUCGGUGGCAAUGAAUAGAUAGAGUCUCGAAGCCCCGACGAGUAGGAGGGCGCGACGGUGAGCGCAGAAGGUUAUGGCGUGAGCCUAACUGGAGCCGCCGUCGGCGAAGAUCUUGGUGGUAGUAGCAAGCACUCGGCUGAGAUCAGCCAAUACCUCGACCGAGGACUGAUGCGGAGGAGGGUUCCUCGUCAACUGCAAUUGAACGAGGGUUAGUCGGCCCUAAGUCCCCGGCUAGCGCCCCUUUGAGGGCACGGCACGUGGGGCGAAAGGGAAUCCGGUGAAUAUCCCGGAACCUGGCGUGGGAAAUACUUUGAACUUAAGGUCCUCCGUUAGCUCCUGGUAACAGGAGUCUGAGUCACGUUCGUCGGUUUCGGCCCGGGGAGGAGCUCUAUCUUUUCUUCAUAAGGCGUCGUGGAACCUGGAAUCAGCCCGCUGGGAGAAAGGUUCGAGAUAUAUCACACGACAGCCGCCGAAGAGCGUCGCGGAUGCUGCGACGUCCCGAGCGCCGAAACCGGCCCAUGAACAGAUGGCCGCGGUGUUUCUUAUUAUGGUUCAAACCUC
RNAcentral lists this ribosomal RNA (1995 nucleotides) under Stenosoma stephenseni. RNAcentral's name for it is "eukaryotic LSU rRNA". It matches the Rfam family "Eukaryotic large subunit ribosomal RNA", at positions 119 to 1845 of the family's 3401-position model. The record is from RNAcentral. Lineage: Eukaryota; Metazoa; Arthropoda; Malacostraca; Isopoda; Idoteidae.